Lentinula aff. lateritia is the source of this 89-nucleotide non-coding RNA. Lineage: Eukaryota; Fungi; Basidiomycota; Agaricomycetes; Agaricales; Omphalotaceae. The record is from the annotation of a GenBank genome assembly.
GCCCGCCUAGCUCAAUCGGAUAGAGCGUCAGACUUUUAAGGCGGGCAGUCUUGAUCUGAAGGCUGCGAGUUCGACCCUCGCGGUGGGCU